Molecule: ribosomal RNA, 367 nt
Filed under: uncultured organism
Description: bacterial SSU rRNA
Rfam family: Bacterial small subunit ribosomal RNA
Source: RNAcentral
CGGAGGAUGCAAGCGUUAUCCGGAUUCAUUGGGUUUAAAGGGUGCGUAGGCGGCUUUUUAAGUCAGUGGUGAAAUCCUGCCGCUUAACGGUAGAAUUGCCAUUGAUACUGAAGAGCUUGAGUACAGUUGAGGUAAGCGGAAUGUGUAGUGUAGCGGUGAAAUGCUUAGAUAUUACACAGAACACCAAUUGCGAAGGCAGCUUACUAAACUGUCACUGACGCUGAUGCACGAAAGCGUGGGGAGCGAACAGGAUUAGAUACCCUGGUAGUCCACGCCGUAAACGAUGAUCACUCGCUGUAUGCGAUACACAGUAUGCGGCCAAGCGAAAGCAUUAAGUGAUCCACUGGGGAGUACGAUCGCAAGGUUG